GACGAACGCUGGCGGCGUGCUUAACACAUGCAAGUCGAACGGAAAGGCCCUGCUUUUGUGGGGUGCUCGAGUGGCGAACGGGUGAGUAACACGUGAGUAACCUGCCCUUGACUUUGGGAUAACUUCAGGAAACUGGGGCUAAUACCGGAUAGGAGCUCCUGCUGCAUGGUGGGGGUUGGAAAGUUUCGGCGGUUGGGGAUGGACUCGCGGCUUAUCAGCUUGUUGGUGGGGUAGUGGCUUACCAAGGCUUUGCCGGGUAGCCGGCCUGGGAGGGUGACCGGCCACAUUGGGACUGAGAUACGGCCCAGACUCCUACGGGAGGCAGCAGUGGGGAAUAUUGCACAAUGGGCGGAAGCCUGAUGCAGCAACGCCGCGUGCGGGAUGACGGCCUUCGGGUUGUAAACCGCGUUCGCCUGUGACGAAGCGUGAGUGACGGUAAUGGGUAAAGAAGCACCGGCUAACUACGUG
RNAcentral lists this ribosomal RNA (468 nucleotides) under uncultured bacterium. RNAcentral's name for it is "partial 16S ribosomal RNA". It matches the Rfam family "Bacterial small subunit ribosomal RNA", at positions 28 to 507 of the family's 1533-position model. The record is from RNAcentral.